GCGUAUACAAUCUACCUUACACAUAGGGAUAGCCUGGAGAAAUCUGGAUUAAUACCUAAUAGUAUUAUAUUUAUGCAUGUAAAUAUAAUUAAAGUUUAGGCGGUGUAAGAUGAGUAUGCGUCCUAUUAGCUAGUUGGAGUGGUAACGGCACCCCAAGGCUACGAUAGGUAGGGGUCCUGAGAGGGAGAUCCCCCACACUGGUACUGAGACAGGGACCAGACUCCUACGGGAGGCAGCAGUGAGGAAUAUUGGUCAAUGGUCGGAAGACUGAACCAGCCAUGCCGCGUGCAGGAAGACGGCCUUAUGGGUUGUAAACUGCUUUUGUAUAGGAAGAAUAAGGUCUACGAGUAGAUUGAUGACGGUACUAUACGAAUAAGCAUCGGCUAACUCCGUGCCAGCAGCCGCGGUAAUACGGAGGAUGCGAGCGUUAUCCGGAAUCAUUGGGUUUAAAGGGUCUGUAGGCUGAUAUUUAAGUCAGGGGUGAAAGUUUGCAGCUCAACUGUAAAAUUGCCUUUGAAACUGGAUAUCUUGAAUUAUCGAGAAGUUGUUAGAAUGUGUAGUGUAGCGGUGAAAUGCAUAGAUAUUACACAGAAUACCGAUAGCGAAGGCAGAUGACUAUUGAUAAAUUGACGCUGAGAGACGAAAGCAUGGGGAGCGAACAGGAUUAGAUACCCUGGUAGUCCAUGCUGUAAACGAUGGAUACUAGCUGUUUGGAGCGAUUUGAGUGGCUAAGCGAAAGUGAUAAGUAUCCCACCUGGGGAGUACGCACGCAAGUGUGAAACUCAAAGGAAUUGACGGGGGCCCGCACAAGCGGUGGAGCAUGUGGUUUAAUUCGAUGAUACGCGAGGAACCUUACCAAGGUUUAAAUGUAAUAGGAAUAGAGUAGAGAUAUUCUAGCCAGCAAUGGUCUGUUACAAGGUGCUGCAUGGUUGUCGUCAGCUCGUGCCGUGAGGUGUCAGGUUAAGUCCUAUAACGAGCGCAACCCCUGUGAUUAUUUACCAGCACGUAGAGGUGGGGACUAUAAUCAGACUGCCGGUGCGAACCGAGAGGAAGGCGGGGAUGACGUCAAAUCAUCACGGCCCUUACACCUUGGGCUACACACGUGCUACAAUGGCUGGUACAGCGAGAGGCAACUGCGUGAGCAGGAGCGGAUCUAUAAAGCCAGUCACAGUUCGGAUCGGAGUCUGCAACUCGACUCCGUGAAGCUGGAAUCGCUAGUAAUCGGAUAUCAGCCAUGAUCCGGUGAAUACGUUCCCGGGCCUUGUACACACCGCCCGUCAAGCCAUGGGAGUUAGGGGUGCCUGAAGUCGGUAGCCGAGAGGAGCCGCCUAGGGUAAAACUAGUGACUGGGGCU
RNAcentral lists this ribosomal RNA (1354 nucleotides) under uncultured Capnocytophaga sp. Its description in RNAcentral is "bacterial SSU rRNA". It matches the Rfam family "Bacterial small subunit ribosomal RNA", at positions 115 to 1482 of the family's 1533-position model. The record is from RNAcentral. Lineage: Bacteria; Pseudomonadati; Bacteroidota; Flavobacteriia; Flavobacteriales; Flavobacteriaceae.